CGGAAUGUGGCGCAGUUUGGUAGCGCAUCACACUGGGGGUGUGGGGGUCGCAGGUUCAAAUCCUGUCAUUCCGA
RNAcentral lists this transfer RNA (74 nucleotides) under Verrucomicrobiales bacterium. RNAcentral's name for it is "tRNA-Pro". It matches the Rfam family "tRNA". Rfam says of the family: Transfer RNA (tRNA) molecules are approximately 80 nucleotides in length. Their secondary structure includes four short double-helical elements and three loops (D, anti-codon, and T loops). Lineage: Bacteria; Pseudomonadati; Verrucomicrobiota; Verrucomicrobiia; Verrucomicrobiales. The record is from RNAcentral.